RNAcentral lists this ribosomal RNA (440 nucleotides) under uncultured bacterium. RNAcentral describes it as "partial 16S ribosomal RNA". It matches the Rfam family "Bacterial small subunit ribosomal RNA", at positions 338 to 795 of the family's 1533-position model. The record is from RNAcentral.
CCUACGGGAGGCAGCAGUAGGGAAUCUUUCACAAUGGGCGCUAGCCUGAUGGAGCAACGCCGCGUGCAGGAUGAAGGCCUUCGGGUUGUUAACUGCUUUUAUAAUCGGGAUAUAGGAUGGUAAGUAUUGUAUAAGGAUCGUCUAACUUGGUGCCAGCAGCCGCAGUCAUACGUAGGAUCCGAGCAUUAUCCGGAGUGACUGGGUGUAAGGGGAGCGUAGACGGUGUAGCAAGUCUGAUGUGAAAGGUUGGGGCCCAACCGCGGGACUGCAUUGGAAACUGUUGAACUGGAGUACAGGAGAGGUAAGCGGAAUUCGUAGUGUAGCGGUGAAAUGCGUAGAUAUUAGGAGGAACACCAGUGGCGAAGGCAGCUUACUGGACUGUAACUGACGUUGAGGCUCGAAAGCGUGGGGAGCAAACAGGAUUAGAUACCCGUGUAGUC